GCUGGCGUAGCUCAGUUGGCAGAGCAGCUGAUUUGUAAUCAGCAGGUCGGGGGUUCGAUUCCCUUUGCCAGCUCCA
RNAcentral lists this transfer RNA (76 nucleotides) under Nitrospinaceae bacterium. Its description in RNAcentral is "tRNA-Thr". It matches the Rfam family "tRNA". From Rfam's summary of the family: Transfer RNA (tRNA) molecules are approximately 80 nucleotides in length. Their secondary structure includes four short double-helical elements and three loops (D, anti-codon, and T loops). Lineage: Bacteria; Pseudomonadati; Nitrospinota; Nitrospinia; Nitrospinales; Nitrospinaceae. The record is from RNAcentral.